RNAcentral lists this ribosomal RNA (433 nucleotides) under uncultured bacterium. RNAcentral's name for it is "partial 16S ribosomal RNA". It matches the Rfam family "Bacterial small subunit ribosomal RNA", at positions 29 to 507 of the family's 1533-position model. The record is from RNAcentral.
AACGAACGCUGGCGGCAUGCCUAACACAUGCAAGUCGAACGAGACCUUCGGGUCUAGUGGCGCACGGGUGCGUAACGCGUGGGAACCUGCCCUUAGGUUCGGAAUAACUCCCCGAAAGGGGUGCUAAUACCGGAUAAUGUCUUCGGACCAAAGAUUUAUCGCCUUUGGAUGGGCCCGCGUUGGAUUCGCUAGUUGGUAGGGUAAAAGCCUACCAAGGCGACGAUCCAUAGCUGGUCUGAGAGGAUGAUCAGCCACACUGGGACUGAGACACGGCCCAGACUCCUACGGGAGGCAGCAGUGGGGAAUAUUGGACAAUGGGCGAAAGCCUGAUCCAGCAAUGCCGCGUGAGUGAUGAAGGCCUUAGGGUUGUAAAGCUCUUUUACCCGGGAUGAUAAUGACAGUACCGGGAGAAUAAGCUCCGGCUAACUCCGUG